UUGUGCUCGCUAACCCUAACCAAGGCCAGCGGCGAUGGCGGCGGCGAGCCGAAACGUCAUCGAAGUUUGAGCCCGUGCUGCUAUUCGCUAAGGGACCACGAGGGAUCUAGAGGAGCGACCAUGUGUGUGUCCAUCCAGUCCCAAUGUUUGAGGCGCACCCGAUGCGAGGCGCUGGUUUUGAUUGACCGGAGGUGAGGAGCGGCCGGAUCAAGCGGAGUCGCGGUCGCGCCUUGCAGUCCGAGAAGAAAAGGGGUGCGGCGGCGGCAAGGACGAGAAGGUUGGCAAGGACAAGGAGAAGAAGAAGGCGCACCCACUCCCGUGGUCACCGCCAUGCUCAAGAUCGAUAUGUGUGCGUCGUGGCUUAUGUUCCGGCCACUACUUAAGGAGAAGGCCAAAACACCACGUACAGGUGUUUUGGUAUCUCUUUGGUGUCUCUUUCAAUGUACUGUUGCUCAGCUUGUUCUACCGUUCUCUGUGGUCACAGUGCGCAGGCGGCUCUUCCUGGCCUCAUGGUGCCCGAGAGAGAGGAAGGAGUACACAGCGAUCCUGAUGCUUACUGCACAUAACGGGUGCUGGCCUCAAUGUGGUUCAAUUCAAUAAAAAGAAUGUGCCCUAUAGCAUUUUCUCAAUGCGACGGAACAACAUCCGAGAGGGUCAGCGCUGUACCGAUAGGUGUCUAUACGAGUCGACAGAUUAUGUUACCCUUUGAUAUGAUCCUCCAUGGAGCGAAAUUUAACGUCAUGGGUCACAAAAAAAGGUUUGAUCGGUGCCAAUGGUGUUGCUGCUAUGAGUAGUCUCUUGAGAGCUAAGUGUACGGACUUUGAGACAAUAUUUUGCGAAAUGCUGCCUUCUGAAGGAGGGAUGCAGGUUAUCCGUUUUUGCAAGAAAGGUUAUUUCAUUUCUUAUGUCUUUAUGUGGUUGGGCUCUCUCAAGCAACAGGAAAUACACAUUUUGGCAGGAAAUCGCACAACUUUCAGCAGUGAUGUCCAACAGGCUAUCAUUGAACCCAGCAAAAUAGGAUAGGGAUGCCAGGUAAAACAAUUGUUCAUGCAAAUGUAUCUUCAGCUCUAUAUUCUUUUUGUUACAGAAUGUUGAAUUCUCUUUUAAUUAUGUGUUCUCCUUGCGGACGUUCUUUCCUAUGGAUCAUCUCACCUUUGAAUAAAUAUCUAUUAUGUUCUCUGAGGAAUAAGAGCCCUAUCGUGCGACUUCUCAUGUGUUGUUCCUUUGUUGUUAUUAUGGUAGUCUGUAUGUAGGAACCCAGUUUGUUGUUUGGUUUAUCUAUACAAGAGAACAUGGUUGCCAUACAUUUUAAAUUACAAAACAUGUUACGCUUAUGGGUUACAAUAUAUAGGUAAAGUGUGUAUCCUUUGUGACAAAGAUUUCUGUGAAUUUUUCCAUAUUUUGUCCGGACUACUCGGUCACGCUAACAAAAUGCUAGAAGAGUAAUGCUUCGUAUGAUCGGCAGGCAUGCUCGCCUGAAUUGUGUGCCAUGCUUCCUUGCAAUAGAGGACUUUUUUAUACACUUGAAAAGUAGCUUAUAAAAUCGAAAAAAGAGUUUGCUAAUUGAUUUAUAAAUGACUUUGUGCAUUCAGAGUUUGACAUUGAUAGACAAUGGUGGAAUGACCACGAUCACUCUACUUUGUCGCUUCAUCUUGCAGUACAAUAAUGAUAUGCCAAAUUAUUAGCAUUGCGGAUUUGGAAUAAAGAAUUUUAGGUGCCAUUUAUUUCUUUCUACAUUAGUAUUUGCUAUAAACAUUCCCUUGAUUCUUAAGGUAUUUAGAUCAGUAGUUGUUCUAAUUGUACGGUCCUUUCAUUUCUAGAAUUAUCUCUUCCCUGCAUUUAUUUUAGAAUAAAUAGCUCUUACAGUUUAUGGGUUUUUUGCCAAAUGGAUCCUCCUACUAUAUAUGCAUGUCUUAUUCAGAACAUCUACAGUGGGUUGUCAUGAGCAUAUGCCAUCGUUUCAUCUUAUCUGGUUGUGUACAAAUUUAUCAUAAUAUUUCCCUUUAUGGUGCAUAUUUAAUUUAGUUCAGUUUAGUCCUCACAUAUGGUUCAUUUUCUUGUUCAUCAAAUUUGCGACCAUAAGUGCCGGUGGUUUCUAUACAUGCACUGAACCAACUAAAGCUAACAUUGAUUUUGUAGCUUAUUCCUAGGUAAGAAUAAUGUGCGCUCAUCUUUGCACAGUUUUUAUAUAGUUAUAAGUUUGUAAUGUACAUGACCAAGUGGGGCCACAUGGCUCACUAAAUAGUAUUUGUUGUGCUUUGGACUGUUAUUUAUACAAAAGUUUCAUUUUUAUUGAUCUGAACAAAAAGGUCACCAUUGCAUUUUUGGUUCCAUAUAUGUAGUACUUUCACUAUUCUUUUUUCCUGUACAAAUAUACACGGCGCAAGCAUUGGGAGUAUCAAAUGCACCAAGGGUUGAAGGACCUCACCCAUCCAGUGAGAGCAAUGCAGCUUUCCACAUGUCGUUCAUUAAUCUAUCUGCUUUAGUUGCAACUUGCAAAAGAUAGUCCAUCCUUUAAUUGUAUUGCCGAUGUCACUUACACAUGUAACUAAGAGAAAAUAGGGCUUUGCAAGGAUGUCACACUACUAUCAUUUCCAUGUGUUCUGCCGAGAAGCUUUGUCUAGAUUAGUAUAGUGAUCAGUUCCAUGCAUGGAAUGCCAUUUGUUUCCACUUUCCUUGCAAGGUCACCUCUCGGCACAUUCAUUGUCAUGAAAAGCUUAUGUUGUAAAUUUAUGAUCCAAUUUAUGAGAUACUAGAAAAAACUUUGUAAACAUAGAAGUAAGAGGAUGGUCAAUAUGACCUGGAAAAUAUACAAGAUGAUACAUAUAUAAAAUAAUAAA
This is a long non-coding RNA of Triticum aestivum (bread wheat), 2840 nucleotides long. RefSeq lists it as uncharacterized. The transcript has 3 exons. The record is from RefSeq and is a predicted model, not a curated record. Lineage: Eukaryota; Viridiplantae; Streptophyta; Magnoliopsida; Poales; Poaceae.